GCGCACCUAGCUCAAAUGGUAAGAGCAUCACUCUUGAAAGUUGAGGUUGUGGGUUUGAUUCCCACAGUGCACA
Molecule: transfer RNA, 73 nt
Filed under: Phakopsora pachyrhizi
Lineage: Eukaryota; Fungi; Basidiomycota; Pucciniomycetes; Pucciniales; Phakopsoraceae
Description: tRNA-Ser
Rfam family: tRNA
About the family: Transfer RNA (tRNA) molecules are approximately 80 nucleotides in length.
Source: RNAcentral